CGGACGGGUGAGUAAUGUCUGGGAAACUGCCUGAUGGAGGGGGAUAACUACUGGAAACGGUAGCUAAUACCGCAUAACGUCGCAAGACCAAAGAGGGGGACCUUCGGGCCUCUUGCCAUCGGAUGUGCCCAGAUGGGAUUAGCUAGUAGGUGGGGUAACGGCUCACCUAGGCGACGAUCCCUAGCUGGUCUGAGAGGAUGACCAGCCACACUGGAACUGAGACACGGUCCA
Molecule: ribosomal RNA, 231 nt
Filed under: uncultured bacterium
Lineage: Bacteria
Description: partial 16S ribosomal RNA
Rfam family: Bacterial small subunit ribosomal RNA
Source: RNAcentral